Molecule: transfer RNA, 74 nt
Filed under: Chitinophagaceae bacterium
Lineage: Bacteria; Pseudomonadati; Bacteroidota; Chitinophagia; Chitinophagales; Chitinophagaceae
Also listed under: 1 other name
Description: tRNA-Ile
Rfam family: tRNA
About the family: Transfer RNA (tRNA) molecules are approximately 80 nucleotides in length. Their secondary structure includes four short double-helical elements and three loops (D, anti-codon, and T loops). Further hydrogen bonds mediate the characteristic L-shaped molecular structure. tRNAs have two regions of fundamental functional importance: the anti-codon, which is responsible for specific mRNA codon recognition, and the 3' end, to which the tRNAs corresponding amino acid is attached (by aminoacyl-tRNA synthetases). tRNAs cope with the degeneracy of the genetic code in two manners: having more than one tRNA (with a specific anti-codon) for a particular amino acid; and 'wobble' base-pairing, i.e. permitting non-standard base-pairing at the 3rd anti-codon position.
Source: RNAcentral
GGUCCUAUAGCUCAGUUGGUUAGAGCAUCUGACUCAUAAUCAGAGGGUCCGGGGUUCAAGUCCCUGUGGGACCA